Sitodiplosis mosellana (orange wheat blossom midge) is the source of this 750-nucleotide long non-coding RNA. RefSeq lists it as uncharacterized. Lineage: Eukaryota; Metazoa; Arthropoda; Insecta; Diptera; Cecidomyiidae. The record is from RefSeq and is a predicted model, not a curated record. The transcript has 6 exons.
AAAUUUCAUCUGGGACCAUUAGCUAUGGCAACAGCCAACAAUCCAGUUUAUAAUCGCUUACUCGACACAAGGAUAUCGUUGGAAUACUAGUAUGUAUCUAGUACUAUUAAAAACAGGUGCAGAUGUCAAUUACGCUGCUUCCGAUUCCGAUGACACUCCGACAUUAACGCCAUAGUUAUGCUGUAAUAUUUGGCCAUCUCUUAAACGGGUAGUUUUGCAAAAGGUCUCAUGACCUACGCGACGAGCAUCCUUGCGGUGCUCCCCACUCAAAUCCAUACAUCCAUACAUUAGGCCAUGAAGAGACGGCCAAGACAUUUUCCGGACAUUUUUGGUCAUACACCGCUACACUUUUCUGCUUUGCGUGGUUUUGUGAAUAUCGUUGAUUUAUUGAUAAAAGCUUCUGGAAUAAAUAUUAACCCAGUCAAUAGUGAUGGUUUUACCCCACUUGAAUCCGCUUUUAUUCCAUUCGAUGUACCUCUUGAGGAUAAAAAGAAAGACUAGCACCUUAUUAUUUAAAAGUGGAGGGAAAACUUUUUUUCGAAAGAUACUGAAAAAGAGUUGUUCUUACAAUAUGGUAUUGUAAAUAAAGAAUAUGUUGAUGAUCAACCGUCAUGAAUCUAGUUUUUAUUCCAUAAGACAUUGAUUUUAUUUAAUACCAGCACUAGAGCUAGAGCUAGCGCUGCACAAAAAGUUGAGUGGAUUUAUUUUGGAAUUUAUCAAUAAAAAAUCGUCUAGUUCCAUUUAUUUUUA